GGGGUUGUACUGGUUUCGACGGGGGUUUUGAAAUUGAGGAAGCCAUCCGUGGCCCCGCACCACGUAAAAAGUGGGAAUUAAAUAUAAACGCAGACGAAAAUUACGCGUUCGCUGCCUAAACGGCAGCUGUCGGCCUUAGGGCUUCCGUCCCUUAAGUAACCGGCAUCGACCUGACGGAGAACUUUGCGGCUUAAGCUUUGCGGCCGUAAAAGAUUUAUGAAGCUACCGGGAUCCUAAGCCUGCUUACCGGCGUGGGACUCCGGGAAUCUCAAAUGAUAAGCUGUGAUGGGAGAUGCUUCAAUGGAUGGGCUUUCGGACAGGGGUUCGAUUCCCCUCAGCUCCACUU
Molecule: transfer-messenger RNA, 346 nt
Filed under: Lachnospiraceae
Lineage: Bacteria; Bacillati; Bacillota; Clostridia; Lachnospirales
Also listed under: 1 other name
Description: SZUA-448 sp017958465 Standard tmRNA
Rfam family: transfer-messenger RNA
About the family: Bacterial tmRNA, also known as 10Sa RNA or SsrA, is named for its dual tRNA and mRNA-like properties. Its role is to liberate the mRNA from a stalled ribosome.
Source: RNAcentral